AUCGCUUCUCGGCCUUUUGGCUAUGAUCAAGUGUAGUAAAUGAUGACAGAUUUUAGCCAGGCACUUUUCUAAGAGAACCCUUUUAUUUUGAUACUCAUUUUAAAAUUUCCUCAACAGGGGUAUCAAGAACUUAAUCUGGCCUGGAGAGAUGGCUCAGAGGUUAAGAGCACUGACUGCUCUUCUAGAGGUCCUGAGUUC
This is a small nuclear RNA of 198 nucleotides. Its record names the gene U2. It matches the Rfam family "U2 spliceosomal RNA". Rfam says of the family: U2 is a small nuclear RNA (snRNA) component of the spliceosome (involved in pre-mRNA splicing). Complementary binding between U2 snRNA (in an area lying towards the 5' end but 3' to hairpin I) and the branchpoint sequence (BPS) of the intron results the bulging out of an unpaired adenosine, on the BPS, which initiates a nucleophilic attack at the intronic 5' splice site, thus starting the first of two transesterification reactions that mediate splicing. The record is from Ensembl.